RNAcentral lists this microRNA precursor (197 nucleotides) under Oryza brachyantha (malo sina). Its description in RNAcentral is "MIR812 microRNA precursor family". It matches the Rfam family "MIR812 microRNA precursor family", at positions 19 to 191 of the family's 205-position model. Lineage: Eukaryota; Viridiplantae; Streptophyta; Magnoliopsida; Poales; Poaceae. The record is from Rfam by way of RNAcentral.
UUUUCGUUUUUUCGUGUCCAAUGUUUCACCAUUCGUCUUAUUUAGAAAAAUUUUUAUGAUUAAUAUUUUUGUUCUUAUUAGAUGAUAUUGCUAGAUGAUAAAACAUGAAUAGUACUUUAUAUGUGACUAAUUUUUUUAAAUUUUUAUAAUAAAUUUUCAAAUAAAACGAAGGGUGAAACGUUGGAUACGAAAAAACA